GUGCCAGCCGCCGCGGUAAUACAGAGGUGGCAAGCGUUGUUCGGAAUUACUGGGCGUAAAGGGCGCGUAGGCGGCCCGUCAAGUCCCGUGUGAAAGCCCCCGGCUCAACCGGGGAACGGCGCGGGAAACUAGCAGGCUUGAGUUCGGGAGAGGGAAGCGGAAUUCCGGGUGUAGCGGUGAAAUGCGCAGAUAUCCGGAGGAACACCGGUGGCGAAGGCGGCUUCCUGGACCGACACUGACGCUGAGGCGCGAAAGCUAGGGGAGCAAACGGGAGGAUAAACCAGCGGAUUAC
This 292-nucleotide ribosomal RNA is filed under the name uncultured bacterium. RNAcentral's name for it is "partial 16S ribosomal RNA". It matches the Rfam family "Bacterial small subunit ribosomal RNA", at positions 505 to 794 of the family's 1533-position model. The record is from RNAcentral.